Dermacentor albipictus is the source of this 1352-nucleotide non-coding RNA. The record is from RefSeq and is a predicted model, not a curated record. NCBI's taxonomy places the organism in Eukaryota, Metazoa, Arthropoda, Arachnida, Ixodida, Ixodidae.
CAUCGAAAAUGGAUUUCACCGCUGUUUCUGCGCACGCGCGAGGAGCAGUAGCUGCGAGAGAGAAAUGUGGGGACUUUUGGUGCUCAAGAUUUCUCGUCGUUUAGGUACUACGGGGAAGAAAACCGUUUGCUCCGUUUGUCCCUAGCCGAGCUUGCACCACAGAAUCGACAGGAUGCGUGGCCGGCAAGGCGGAAAAAGCCGCGUCCGAGACCCAUCAACUAGCCCAAAUUAAUUUACAUAUCUCAUAAAAGCAAGUGCACUGCAGUUGGAGCUUUGGAAAUAGGCCUGUGUUUAAAACAGAUUCGAGUGGUCGACACAUGAAGUGGGCUCAUUCAUGUGAGUACCCAUGUCAGUGCUGUAUUGUCUUUUUUUGAAGAGGAUUGAUCGAUUGUUCCUGCUUUAGAUAAAAGUCUAGUGAUCUAGAGAGCAUAGUUUAAAAGGCUGAUGAAAAAGGGAACACUUUUGGAUUUUGCGUGCUAACUACUAUCUUGUCAGCUGCUACAGUUUUUGUAAAUAUUCAGUAAAUAUAUUUGGUGCAUCUCUUUUCCUCUGUAACACUUUCAUGGAGGUUGCGGACGCUUCCAGACGCAAGACUGAUUUAUGCAGCAGGCACUCAAGGCGAGAAUGCUUUGGCUACGUUGCCAUCUGCGUCCACAGUCAUCCUGGCACAACCGCCAUGAUAGGAGCUCCUGAGAUAAAACUGCCUCCAAGUCAGAAAAGAAAGGAAAAGCAGGUGUCUUUCUGCUUGUGUGGGAGGCGCCCUUAGUCCAGGACUCCUGCGGCUCUUGCUGUCUCCCGGGCUCGCCACACCUGGUGUAACAAGAAUUGUGUUCUCAUCUGAAUUACUGGAGUAUACUUUUUCCUUUGUCAUAGGUGGAAAAGUAAUCAGCAACGUUCUCACACCUACACUGUCCUUAUUGGUAUGUAGUGUGACUAAAUUCUGCUUCUGCAUUAGUUGUGUUGAUAGCAUGCUUGGUCCAAAUUCUUAUUUGUUCCUUUUGCUAAUUUUCAUUUUGUUCACAGAACUUUCCAAGAGGGGAACGUAUCCAAUAAAAUAAAGCACUAAUUUACUUUCAUGCUGAAGAUUCAUAACUCUUACAAAUUGAUGUGGUUUCUACCAGGUGAUCUUCACUGCAUUAAAGAGUUAUGAGCUAGGUACUAGGGUAUCCCAGCAACAUCAUGAGCAAGCAACACCAUCUUCUAUCAUCUCUUAGAGAAAAAAAAAUUCCUUAUAACUUUACUUCACUCUGCAAAACGCUUAAAGCAUAAAAAUAUCACUCAUUUUUUAUUUUUACAUAUUAUAUUACACAAGCGCAUAUUAAACAAUGAACAGUACUCCUCAUUGUCUUCUC